UGGCGGUGGGCACGGUGAUGGCGGUGGCGGUGGGCACGGUGAUGGCGGCGUUACGACGGGUGGAGGCGUAUGAGUGGGUGGUUUAGGGGUGGACGGAGGUGGUUUAACAGUGGGCGGUUUCGUGGGUGGUUUCGGGGUAGACGGAGGAGGUUUAACGGUGGGCGGUUUCGUGGGUGGUUUCGGGGUGGACGGAGGUGGUUUAACGGUGGGCGGUUUCGUGGGUGGUUUCGGGGUGGGAUGAGGUUUGGUAGGGGGUUUCGGAUGUGGGUGUGGUUUGACAGUGGGCGGUUUGGUAGGGGGUUUAGGGUGUGGGUGUGGUUUGACGGUGGGUGGUUUGGGAGGUUUUACUGCCGGUGGUUUAGGCGGUUUGCUAGGAUGUUUAGGCGGUUUGUGGGGGUGAGGUGAUGGUUUAGGAGGGCUACAGUCGCAAGCGAAG
Molecule: long non-coding RNA, 436 nt
Filed under: Brassica rapa (field mustard)
Lineage: Eukaryota; Viridiplantae; Streptophyta; Magnoliopsida; Brassicales; Brassicaceae
Description: long non-coding RNA (BRAP_LNC002077)
Source: RNAcentral